Molecule: ribosomal RNA, 1447 nt
Filed under: Schizosaccharomyces japonicus
Lineage: Eukaryota; Fungi; Ascomycota; Schizosaccharomycetes; Schizosaccharomycetales; Schizosaccharomycetaceae
Description: SSU rRNA
Rfam family: Eukaryotic small subunit ribosomal RNA
Source: RNAcentral
UACUGGUUGAUCCUGCCAGUAGUCAUAUGCUUGUCUCAAAGAUUAAGCCAUGCAUGUCUAAGUAUAAGCAACUUGUACUGUGAACUGCGAAUGGCUCAUUAAAUCAGUUAUCGUUUAUUUGAUAGUACCUCAACUACUUGGAUAACCGUGGUAAUUCUAUGGCUAAUACAUGCUUAAAAUCCCGACUUUUUUGGGAGGGAUGUGUUUAUUAGGUAAAAAACCAAUGCCUUCGGGCUCCUUUGGUGGAUUCAUAAUAACUUUUCGAAUCGCAUGGCCUUGUGCCGGCGAUGGUUCAUUCAGAUUUCUGCCCUAUCGGCUUUCGAUGGUAGGGUAGAGGCCUACCAUGGUUUUAACGGGUAACGGGGAAUAAGGGUUCUAUUCCGGAGAGGGAGCCUGAGAAACGGCUACCACGUCCAAGGAAGGCAGCAGGCGCGCGAAUUACCCGAUCCCGAGACGGGGAGGUAGUGACAAUAAAUAACAAUGCAGGGCCCUUUCGGGUCUUGUAAUUGGAAUGAGUACAAUUUAAAUACCUUAACGAGGAACAAUUGGAGGGCAAGUCUGGUGCCAGCAGCCGCGGUAAUUCCAGCUCCAAUAGCGUAUAUUAAAGUUGUUGCAGUUAAAAAGCCGUAGUUGAACUUUGAACCUGGUUGAUCGGUCCGCCGCAAAGGCGUGUUACUGGUUUCAACCGGGCUCGUUAACCUUCUGGCUACUGUCAUGCUCUUCAUUGAGUGUGGCAGCGAACCAGGACUUUUACUUUGAAAAAAUUAGAGUGUUCAAAGCAGGCAUUUGCUCGAAUACAUUAGCAUGGAAUAAUAAAAUAGGACGUGUGGUUCUAUUUUGUUGGUUUCUAGGACCGCCGUAAUGAUUAAUAGGGAUAGUUGGGGGCAUUAGUAUUCAAUUGUCAGAGGUGAAAUUCUUGGAUUUAUUGAAGACUAACUACUGGAAAGCAUUUUGCCAAGGAUGUUUUCAUUAAUCAAGAACGAAAGUUAGGGGAUCGAAGACGAUCAGAUACCGUCGUAGUCUUAACCAUAAACUAUGCCGACUAGGGAUCGGGCAAUGUUCUUUUUUUUGACUUGCUCGGCACCUUAUGAGAAAUCAAAGUCUUUGGGUUCCGGGGGGAGUAUGGUCGCAAGGCUGAAACUUAAAGGAAUUGACGGAAGGGCACCACCAGGUGUGUGAGUGCGGCUUAAUUUGACUCAACACGGGGAAACUCACCAGGUCCAGACACGACAAGGAUUGACAGAUUGAUAGCUCUUUCUUGAUCUCGUGGUUGGUGGUGCAUGGCCGUUCUUAGUUGGUGGAGUGAUUUGUCUGGUUAAUUCCGAUAACGAACGAGACCUUAACCUGCUAAAUAGCCCGGCCGACUUUGGUUGGUCGCUGGCUUCUUAGAGGGACUAUCGACGUCUAGUCGAUGGAAGUUUGAGGCAAUAACAGGUCUGUGAUGCCC